AAAGAGAGAUACAAUACCUGUAGUCUUUGUGGGUACGAACCCAACCUAGUUGGGUUACUAUACUUGAUUAUGAUUGCUUUAGCCUUAAUUUAGAGGUGUAGUUUGGGCAUGGAUCAAAAUGUUGGUGCUAUUUUCGGGGAUUAUGGUAUUUAGUAUAUUAAAGUUGCUAAAGUUCAUGGGUUUUAUUUGUUGUUCUUAGUGUAUACAUUGAUGUAUGCCUAGCACUAGG
This 229-nucleotide long non-coding RNA is filed under the name Capsicum annuum. RNAcentral describes it as "long non-coding RNA (CANN_LNC014254)". The record is from RNAcentral. Lineage: Eukaryota; Viridiplantae; Streptophyta; Magnoliopsida; Solanales; Solanaceae.